AGCUAGUGAAGAGAAAUAAUUCUUAAGGCCCACUAAAGGGAGAGACUGUAGCCAGGGCCUUGACUUCUCUGUAGUAGAAAUCUGCACUUCAAUUAAGCCCAGAGGAAGUUUAUCCACUGGAGCUGAAUAAUGAAACCAUCAUUCAAAAUGAUUUCAUGUAACUUUUGAGGUUGGUUGCAUUUUUUUCUUUUCAAGAGAGAAGCUGCAAGGCAGUUUAAAGCUCAACUGCAUUAAGGUUCAUGGGGGCUAGGUCAUCUGGAGAAGCUCUGAUUCCCUCUGGGCAUUUUGAUGAUUCUGACUCCCCUCCCACGCAUUUCCGUCUCUCUCUCAGCAUGUCACAUCCAUGGCUAUCAAGCCCUGACCAGCAAAGGCUGGGAAGGUGAACAUCAUUCACAUUCCAUCCUUAUUCUAUUUAGAAAUAUUUAGCAAGUUAUCUCAAGAUGCCUUUGAUUAACUGUUUUGUUGGACAAAAAGUUCAAAGCCUGCUUCAGCACUGGUGAUCCCAUUCCUUGCCCUUGCUUUCCAACUGCAGACCUUAAUUUCACACUUCAGAAGGAUGAUUUUGCAUCAUCAGAGAGAUUCCUCUACAUUUCUGUUAUGGUCUUCCCUGCAAUGCAGAGGAGAUGCAACAGGUAUUGGAAAUGUUUGGCUUUUUUCUCCUGAAAAUCAAUUCUGAGGAAAGUCUGUAUACUACUCUGGAAAACUGCCGAUUUAGAGAGCUACAAGGGGAUAAUGAUGAUCUGACACCACCCUCUCUCAAGAAAAAACAAUAAAAAAAGCAAGUAACUUGAUUCCCCAAGACACUGAUGCACAUAGUGUGGCUAGUCUCCUUUUUCACCCCUAUAAUCAUUGCACUUCUCAACAGAGCCAAGGACAUGAAUUUUUACUAAGAACACUUCAAAAGCCCUCCCAAUGUCCUACUCUCCUGAAGAGCAGCAGCUCCCUGCACACAUGAAAUUUCUGCUGAAGCUCAAUUCCAGCUAAAGGUUACAUGCCAUCUAUAUCCCUGCACUGAACCUACCUCUUUUUUUCCCCUCAAGCAGCACCCCAAGUUUCACCCUCUCUCCUUACUGUAUUCUUCCCUUCCAUCGUUAGCAUCCGUCGCACUAGGCCCAAAUAACACCCACCUGUGUUCCUUUGCAGCCGUGAUGCUUUAUGACAUCUUAGAGCACAUGCUGUUGAACAGAACUAGAUGAAACUAUACCUUUUGCUGUAACUUCAUGUAGGUGACUUCCAUAAACAAAGCACUCCAUAUGUAACUUGUGGAAAAGCAGCAAGAAAAACUGAGGCCCACCUUUAUCUCAGACAGGAUCUGUUUUGCAUCGUAGCUGUAGCAUGAGUUUAGGAUUUCUUACCCUGUUUAUCUUCAGGAAUUACCCAGCUAUAAGAAAUUUUAUACUGGGAAAAUCUAGCUUAAUAAUGGAUCACAUGAAAGCAUCUGGUUAAUACAGCAUAGUCCAUUUUUUCUCGUCAGUAAUUCAGAACUCAGUGCAGAGGGAGAGAAGCACCAGAAGCUUUAUUUAAAUUGCCCUCUAGAUAGAACUCCCCAGACUCAUUUAGCAUAAGCAUAACUGCAACACAUAGACAAAGCAUGCUCCAUAUUACAGUAUUACAUGAACUAAUGAAAGUUACUUUAGAAUUACAGCAUUGUAGAAUGGUUUGGAUUGGAUGGGACCCUUAAAGAACAUCAAGUUUUAACCCCCAUGCCAUGGGCAGGGACACCUUUUAAUUGACCAGAUUGCUCAAAGCCCCAUCCAUUCUGGUCUUCAGUGC
This is a long non-coding RNA of Cyanistes caeruleus (blue tit), 1773 nucleotides long. Lineage: Eukaryota; Metazoa; Chordata; Aves; Passeriformes; Paridae. The record is from Ensembl.